UGAUUGGUCUGUCCGGAAGUA
RNAcentral lists this non-coding RNA (21 nucleotides) under Caenorhabditis elegans. Lineage: Eukaryota; Metazoa; Nematoda; Chromadorea; Rhabditida; Rhabditidae. The record is from RNAcentral.